This 540-nucleotide ribosomal RNA is filed under the name uncultured Trichodesmium sp. Its description in RNAcentral is "bacterial SSU rRNA". It matches the Rfam family "Bacterial small subunit ribosomal RNA", at positions 463 to 1000 of the family's 1533-position model. Lineage: Bacteria; Bacillati; Cyanobacteriota; Cyanophyceae; Oscillatoriales; Microcoleaceae. The record is from RNAcentral.
AACAUAAUGACGGUACUUUAGGAAUCAGCAUCGGCUAACUCCGUGCCAGCAGCCGCGGUAAUACGGAGGAUGCAAGCGUUAUCCGGAAUCAUUGGGCGUAAAGCGUCCGUAGGUGGCGUUUCAAGUCUGCUGUCAAAGCACAAGGCUUAACCUUGUAAAGGCAGUGGAAACUGAAAGAGCUAGAGUGCGGUAGGGGUAGAGGGAAUUCCCAGUGUAGCGGUGAAAUGCGUAGAGAUUGGGAAGAACACCGGUGGCGAAAGCGCUCUACUGGGCCUGCACUGACACUGAGGGACGAAAGCUAGGGGAGCGAAAGGGAUUAGAUACCCCUGUAGUCCUAGCCGUAAACGAUGGAUACUAGGCGUUGUCUGUAUCGACCCGGACAGUGCCGGAGCUAACGCGUUAAGUAUCCCGCCUGGNGAGUACGCACGCAAGUGUGAAACUCAAAGGAAUUGACGGGGGCCCGCACAAGCGGUGGAGUAUGUGGUUUAAUUCGAUGCAACGCGAACAACCUUACCAAGGCUUGACAUGUCCGGAAUCCUC